Molecule: ribosomal RNA, 497 nt
Filed under: uncultured bacterium
Lineage: Bacteria
Description: partial 16S ribosomal RNA
Rfam family: Bacterial small subunit ribosomal RNA
Source: RNAcentral
GACGAACGCUGGCGGCGUGCCUAAUACAUGCAAGUUGAACGCUGAAGUGAGGAGCUUGCUCUUCUUGGAUGAGUUGCGUACGGGUGAGUAACGCGUAGGUAACCUGCCUUGUAGCGGGGGAUAACUAUUGGAAACGAUAGCUAAUACCGCAUAACAAUGGAUGACACAUGUCAUUUAUUUGAAAGGGGCAAUUGCUCCACUACAAGAUGGACCUGCGUUGUAUUAGCUAGUAGGUGAGGUAAUGGCUCACCUAGGCGACGAUACAUAGCCGACCUGAGAGGAUGAUCGGCCAAAAUGGGACUGAGACACAGCCCAGAAACCUACGAGAGGAAGCAGAAGGAAUUCUUCGGCAAUAGGGGCAACCCUGACCGAGAAACGCCGAGUGAGUGAAGAAGGAUUUCGGAUAGUAAAGCUCUGUUGUAAGUCAAGAACGGGUGUGAGAGUGGAAAGUUCACACUGUGAAGGUAGCUUACCAGAAAGAGACAGAUAAAUACGUG